GUGAUCACUUAUUUACACGCGUUGAAGACAGAUCUUCAAAAUGCACAAAGCAAGGAGUAAGAGCAGAAUGGAGCCCCACACCUCUGUGUGAACCAAUAGCAUGUAAACUACAACUGCCAGCGCUGAAAGGAACCAGCUAUGAACCUGUUCAUAAAAACACGUUCCAACCUGGUGACCAAGUGACAGUAAAUUGUGGAGAAAAGCACUGGAUUUUUAGUCAUCAAGAGGUCUCAGUAGUAACUACAUGCAAAGAGGAUGGAGAGUGGAAUAUCAGACCUGUAUGCCAAGAGGUUACGUGCAGCAAACGAGGAGUCCCACAUGUGUCUUGGCGCAAUCGUUGGCCGCAAACAUUCAAAUCGGGUGAGUGGACACGUUACCGUUGUGAGACAGGCUACAGGAGGAUAGAUGACAGGGACGACAGGGCCACAUGCACCCAAGAUGGAUGGCACCCAAAUCCACUUUGUCAAGGUAUUGUGAA
Long non-coding RNA from Notothenia coriiceps (black rockcod), 478 nucleotides. RefSeq lists it as uncharacterized. The record is from RefSeq and is a predicted model, not a curated record. Lineage: Eukaryota; Metazoa; Chordata; Actinopteri; Perciformes; Nototheniidae. The transcript is spliced from 3 exons.